Molecule: ribosomal RNA, 253 nt
Filed under: uncultured bacterium
Lineage: Bacteria
Description: partial 16S ribosomal RNA
Rfam family: Bacterial small subunit ribosomal RNA
Source: RNAcentral
UACAGAGGUCUCGAGCGUUGUUCGGAUUCAUUGGGCGUAAAGGGCGCGUAGGCGGCGGGGUAAGUCUGGUGUGAAAUCUCGGAGCUCAACUCCGAAAUUGCACUGGAUACUGCUCUGCUAGAGGGCUGGAGAGGAGAUCGGAAUUCACGGUGUAGCAGUGAAAUGCGUAGAUAUCGUGAGGAAGACCAGUGGCGAAGGCGGAUCUCUGGACAGCUCCUGACGCUGAGGCACGAAGGCCAGGGGAGCAAACGGG